Molecule: small nuclear RNA, 107 nt
Filed under: Vombatus ursinus (common wombat)
Lineage: Eukaryota; Metazoa; Chordata; Mammalia; Diprotodontia; Vombatidae
Source: RNAcentral
AUGCUCACUUUGGAAGUACAUAUACUAAAAUUGAAAUGAUACAGACAAAAUUAGCAUGGCCUCUGUGUAAGGAUGACAUGCAAAUUCAUGAAGUGCUCCAUAUUUGU